GUGCUCACUUCAACAGCAUAUAUGCUGAAAUGGGAAUGGUGCAGAGAUUAGCAUGGCCCUGUGCAAGGAUGGCACUCACAUUCAUGAAGCACUCCAUAUUUUU
Molecule: small nuclear RNA, 103 nt
Organism: Aotus nancymaae (Ma's night monkey)
Lineage: Eukaryota; Metazoa; Chordata; Mammalia; Primates; Aotidae
Source: Ensembl